RNAcentral lists this unclassified non-coding RNA (893 nucleotides) under Leishmania donovani. RNAcentral describes it as "gene:unknown". Lineage: Eukaryota; Euglenozoa; Kinetoplastea; Trypanosomatida; Trypanosomatidae. The record is from RNAcentral.
AAAGCCGCAAUACAGCAACGAAAAGGCAGGAAGUCACAGACAAGCGAAAAAAAAUCCUUGGUUUACAAUGCAAUGUAUGCUGUUUGUGCUUCUCCUUUUUGUUUUCUUGGAUCCUUGAAUAUUUGCACACGUACUUUUUGUUCUUCUGACUAGUUUCAUCGCUUCGAGCGAACACCCCUCUGGAAAAACCUACAUAAUAGAAAUCGGUGUGCAAAGGCUGCCCAUUUAGGUGCUGUAGCCAAAUGAUGUUUUUUGCAGCACGAUUUUGUUUGCCGUCUCGGUUGCAGGCGGACUGGGAGGCUUUUAAGGUCUCUAAGACAGCGACUUUCCUUCUUUGUGGGGCACCCUCCUCCUCAAGGGCAUAUGCUCCUCGCUGUGCUUAGAUGGAUUUCUUUUUUUCCGCGUGUUGCAUUUAUUCCACCACAUUGUAGAUGGUUCUGUUCCUGUAUGUUUGCCUCGCAGUGCUCACCACGACAGAGGGCGCCCUCCUGACCAUAGCCUUUUGAUACAAUGAGCUGCUGUAUCUCGAAGUCUAUCGUCCAUGUUGACGAUGGUCACCAGAAAUUCGAUGCGUUCAUCGGACUAUGCUCCCCUGGAAUGGACCUGCUGGCAAUUCAGUUGGACAACUACUUCGACGGGCUCACUUCGGAGUCCCUCUACACGUCGUGCGUCAGUAGGAAUGGCUACGAGUGUCUCCUUGGAAAUCACCCCAAGGAAUCCAAGGUGAGCUGCAGCAGACAGGCGGCAUCCCAUCACGAGACCGGUCACAAGCCUCUCACCGCUAGCAGCGUAAAUGGCAUCGUGAACGCUUUUUUCGAUUACCUGGUUACUGCGCUGGAGUUGCGCCAGUGGAGCAGCAAUUUCAAUCUCACCCUCACCAAUGCCUUCUCCAG